UACGUAGGUGGCAAGCGUUAUCCGGAAUUAUUGGGCGUAAAGCGUGCGCAGGCGGCUAAUUAAGUCUGAGGUCAAAUACUGGGGCUCAACCCCAGCUCGCCUUGGAAACUGGUUAGCUAGAGUGCAGAAGAGGGUAGUGGAAUUCCAUGUGUAGCGGUAAAAUGCGUAGAUAUAUGGAGGAACACCAGUGGCGAAGGCGGCUACCUGGUCUGUAACUGACGCUCAUGCACGAAAGCGUGGGGAGCAAAUAGG
This 252-nucleotide ribosomal RNA is filed under the name uncultured bacterium. Its description in RNAcentral is "partial 16S ribosomal RNA". It matches the Rfam family "Bacterial small subunit ribosomal RNA", at positions 524 to 776 of the family's 1533-position model. The record is from RNAcentral.